This 440-nucleotide ribosomal RNA is filed under the name uncultured bacterium. RNAcentral's name for it is "partial 16S ribosomal RNA". It matches the Rfam family "Bacterial small subunit ribosomal RNA", at positions 338 to 795 of the family's 1533-position model. The record is from RNAcentral.
CCUACGGGAGGCAGCAGUGGGGAAUAUUGCACAAUGGGGGAAACCCUGAUGCUGCGACGCCGCGUGAGUGAAGAAGUAUUUCGGUACGUAAAGCUCUAUCAGCAGGGAAGCAAAUGACGGUACCUGACUAAGAAGCCCCGGCUAACUCCGUGCCAGCAGCCGCGGUAAUACGUAGGGGGCAAGCGUUAUCCGGAUUUACUGGGGGUAAAGGGAGCGUAGACGGCAGCGCAAGUCUGGAGUGAAAUCCCAUGGCUUAACCAUGGAACUGCUUUGGAAACUGUGCAGCUAGAGUGCAGGAGAGGUAAGCGGAAUUCCUAGUGUAGCGGUGAAAUGCGUAGAUAUUAGGAGGAACACCAGUGGCGAAGGCGGCUUACUGGACUGUAACUGACGUUGAGGCUCGAAAGCGUGGGGAGCAAACAGGAUUAGAUACCCGAGUAGUC